AAUAAUUCUAACUCUGAGUGGACUUGGGUGUAUUAUCCCCUGUGAGUUUAUAUUAUUGCUAAAAUGCAAGAUCAGAAUGAGAGACCUGCAGGGUCUGUGUGUCCUACACCAGGGGUUUUCCCCUCAGACAGGGCAUGUAAGGAUGACACCAGCCUCAUGGCAUCGGAGGAAUUUCAAUCCCUCCUCGAUUCCACCAUGGCACAAUCCAUCAACAAGGCGUUAGCCUCCGCGAUGGGGGUCAUGUCAUCCUCUAU
RNAcentral lists this long non-coding RNA (254 nucleotides) under Pelobates cultripes (western spadefoot toad). The record is from RNAcentral. Lineage: Eukaryota; Metazoa; Chordata; Amphibia; Anura; Pelobatidae.